GGGUUGUGAGGUUAAGCGACUAAGCGUACACGGUGGAUGCCCUGGCAGUCAGAGGCGAUGAAGGGCGUGCUAAUCUGCGAUAAGCGCCGGUAAGGUGAUAUGAACCGUUAUAACCGGCGAUACCCGAAUGGGGAAACCCAGUGUGAUUCGUCACACUAUCAUUAACUGAAUCCAUAGGUUAAUGAGGCGAACCGGGGGAACUGAAACAUCUAAGUACCCCGAGGAAAAGAAAUCAACCGAGAUUCCCCCAGUAGCGGCGAGCGAACGGGGAGGAGCCCAGAGCCUGAAUCAGCAUGUGUGUUAGUGGAAGCGUCUGGAAAGGCGCGCGAUACAGGGUGACAGCCCCGUACACAAAAGCGCAUGUGCUGUGAGCUCGAUGAGUAGGGCGGGACACGUGGUAUCCUGUCUGAAUAUGGGGGGACCAUCCUCCAAGGCUAAAUACUCCUGACUGACCGAUAGUGAACCAGUACCGUGAGGGAAAGGCGAAAAGAACCCCGGCGAGGGGAGUGAAAAAGAACCUGAAACCGUGUACGUACAAGCAGUGGGAGCCCCACCACUAAGCCAGUGGUGAACUCCACAUACGCAUCCUUUGCUGAGGAUACGGUUAACGGAGCGAAAGCGACGUUCAACCUCAAAAGAAGCAGAGGGGGCUUAGUGGUGGGGUGACUGCGUACCUUUUGUAUAAUGGGUCAGCGACUUAUAUUCUGUAGCAAGGUUAACCGUAUAGGGGAGCCGGAGGGAAACCGAGUCUUAAUUGGGCGUUAAGUUGCAGGGUAUAGACCCGAAACCCGGUGAUCUAGCCAUGGGCAGGUUGAAGGUUGGGUAACACUAACUGGAGGACCGAACCGACUAAUGUUGAAAAAUUAGCGGAUGACCUGUGGCUGGGGGUGAAAGGCCAAUCAAACCGGGAGAUAGCUGGUUCUCCCCGAAAGCUAUUUAGGUAGCGCCUCGUGAAUUCAUCUCCGGGGGUAGAGCACUGUUUCGGCUAGGGGGCCAUCCCGGCUUACCAACCCGAUGCAAACUGCGAAUACCGGAGAAUGUUAUCACGGGAGACACACGGCGGGUGCUAACGUCCGUCGUGAAGAGGGAAACAACCCAGACCGCCAGCUAAGGUCCCAAAGUCAUGGUUAAGUGGGAAACGAUGUGGGAAGGCCCAGACAGCCAGGAUGUUGGCUUAGAAGCAGCCAUCAUUUAAAGAAAGCGUAAUAGCUCACUGGUCGAGUCGGCCUGCGCGGAAGAUGUAACGGGGCUAAACCAUGCACCGAAGCUGCGGCAGCGAACGUAUCACUUAAAGCGAUUCAGCGGGUUACGAUUGACGGAGCGAAGCGACGUCAAAGCGUAUACAAAGUCGAGUCGGUUUAAGGAUACGUUCGUUGGGUAGGGGAGCGUUCUGUAAGCCUGUGAAGGUGUGUCGUGAGGCAUGCUGGAGGUAUCAGAAGUGCGAAUGCUGACAUAAGUAACGAUAAAGCGGGUGAAAAGCCCGCUCGCCGGAAGACCAAGGGUUCCUGUCCAACGUUAAUCGGGGCAGGGUGAGUCGACCCCUAAGGCGAGGCCGAAAGGCGUAGUCGAUGGGAAACGGGUUAAUAUUCCCGUACUUGGUGUUACUGCGAAGGGGGGACGGAGAAGGCUAUGUUGGCCGGGCGACGGUUGUCCCGGUUUAAGCGUGUAGGUGUGUGUUCCAGGUAAAUCCGGUUCACUUUAACACUGAGGCGUGAUGACGAGGCACUACGGUGCUGAAGCAACAAAUGCCCUGCUUCCAGGAAAAGCCUCUAAGCAUCAGGUAACAUCAAAUCGUACCCCAAACCGACACAGGUGGUCAGGUAGAGAAUACCAAGGCGCUUGAGAGAACUCGGGUGAAGGAACUAGGCAAAAUGGUGCCGUAACUUCGGGAGAAGGCACGCUGACACGUAGGUGAAGUGAUUUACUCACGGAGCUGAAGUCAGUCGAAGAUACCAGCUGGCUGCAACUGUUUAUUAAAAACACAGCACUGUGCAAACACGAAAGUGGACGUAUACGGUGUGACGCCUGCCCGGUGCCGGAAGGUUAAUUGAUGGGG
Molecule: ribosomal RNA, 2056 nt
Filed under: Salmonella enterica subsp. enterica serovar London
Lineage: Bacteria; Pseudomonadati; Pseudomonadota; Gammaproteobacteria; Enterobacterales; Enterobacteriaceae
Description: partial 23S ribosomal RNA
Rfam family: Bacterial large subunit ribosomal RNA
Source: RNAcentral